UAACGUCCGAGAUGAUUAUCAUCUACCAUAGCUAUCUCUGUUUAAACGAGUUUGCACCUCUUCUUACAAAGAAAUCAAAAGUAAAGACACACGAGUAGUCUACUGUCUAGUCCGUCUUGGAAGAACCGAUGAUUGCAACCUGAGCUUCAAAGCAGCACUUUGUUUUCAUGAGAUAACCCUUUGACGAGUCCUUGAAUUCCUCCAGCGUCAUGAACUUGUCCCAUCCCCACAUCGGGGCAUUCUUUGAGAAUUGGCACCGGCCUACAAUUCCCCAAACAAACAAUGUGUCAAUGAGGAAAUGUGGUAUAAAUUAGCAUCUCUCAACUACAGCCCAUUGCACAAAAUUUCUGCUAAACACAGCGAACCUGUCAAUUUACGGUGCUUGCCGGUUUCCUGGUCUUUGACGCAUAUGCUUAAUUCGACCAUGGUUCUGGAGUUCUGAUGGCGUGUCUCUGGCAUCUUCAUAUUCAGGGCCAAGUAGAGGUAGUUCUCAUUGUUACUGGAUCCAGAUGAUUGGAUAAUGAUGGAACUGAAAUUGGAGAGCUCAAAUAGGUAAGUCCUUUUUUUUUUAACCAUUUUUUCAUGAGCUCUUUUACGGUAAUUGGCGAGUACUUUUCAGUACUUCUCAGUGCUUCUGCGAGAAUUAAUUCGGUCCGUUGAUUAUCGGGUUACUGACGUUGCCCGCAAAAAUUGGAUCUUAUUGGGCUCAUGCGGCCCGAUCGUUCAGUUUUGUGGCUCAUGUGGACAUCUGGGCUCUUGACAUCGACACACACGAAGCGGCCAGCAGGCGCUUCCUCUCAUGCUGCCGCCGCCACCUCUCCUCCUGCCUCAUGGAGCCUCCAUCUCCUCCCUCUCCUUCCGCCCUCAUGUAGACCCUGCUAUCGCGGCUCGAUCCCUCAGUCCCAGCGGCGCCGUCGGGGCCGUGGUGGCAGCGGCCGACAUGGCGGAGGAGGCGGAAGCGCCGUCGCCCAAGGCGCUGUGGCUGAACGUGAUGACGACGACACUGAGGCGGCUUAGAUUGGCGUCCUGAAGCACCGGCUCAAGAGCACCAUGUCCAGGAAGCCCAUUGUUGGAGCACG
This 1079-nucleotide long non-coding RNA is filed under the name Brachypodium distachyon (stiff brome). RNAcentral's name for it is "long non-coding RNA (BDIS_LNC003484)". Lineage: Eukaryota; Viridiplantae; Streptophyta; Magnoliopsida; Poales; Poaceae. The record is from RNAcentral.